RNAcentral lists this long non-coding RNA (566 nucleotides) under Hordeum vulgare. Its description in RNAcentral is "long non-coding RNA (HVUL_LNC006274)". The record is from RNAcentral. Lineage: Eukaryota; Viridiplantae; Streptophyta; Magnoliopsida; Poales; Poaceae.
UAAUAUUACCUGUUUUCUUAUUAGUUAUAUUUAUAGUAAUUGUGUGGCUCUAAUGUGAAUAUCGUCUUGGCGAUUCAUCACAAAAGUAAUCCCUGAGAACGAGGAGGAACUAUUUGCCAAACAAUCAUCAAUAAUUAUCUAAUGUGCAUAUUUUUCAUCUGAUGCCCGUGUAGAUGUAGUGAUCAGAAGAUCACAAAAUCUUUGCUUUUAUGAAUUUUAUAUGGCCCAUUUACCGUGUUACUUAAAAUGCUUGAGAAGAUUAAUGAUGAACGUUGGCAGGGCCUGCACGACCUUCGCAAACAAGAUACAAUUGGUCUUGCUUUUAAAAGGAUGCAACCACCAUGUUGAACACAUAAAGCUUCCUUCGCUAUCCAAAUCAACUUCAAGACACUGUAACAUGGCACGAGGAUCACAUGCUUAGAUAGCAAACCGCUUCAAAUUUCCACAUCUAUGCUUCUUAGUGGAUUAACCGUCCUGGCCACUGGCAUAAUCCACAGCCGUCCAAUAAAAGGAUGUAGGGUCACUAGUAGAAAACAACUUCAAUACUUUGCUUUCUAUUCCCUCCG